UCGUAACAAGGUCUCCGUUGGUGAACCAGCGGAGGGAUCAUUACUGAGUUUACGCUCUACAACCCUUUGUGAACAUACCUAUAACUGUUGCUUCGGCGGGUAGGGUCUCCGCGACCCUCCCGGCCUCCCGCCUCCGGGCGGGUCGGCGCCCGCCGGAGGAUAACCAAACUCUGAUUUAACGACGUUUCUUCUGAGUGGUACAAGCAAAUAAUCAAAACUUUUAACAACGGAUCUCUUGGUUCUGGCAUCGAUGAAGAACGCAGCGAAAUGCGAUAAGUAAUGUGAAUUGCAGAAUUCAGUGAAUCAUCGAAUCUUUGAACGCACAUUGCGCCCGCCAGCAUUCUGGCGGGCAUGCCUGUUCGAGCGUCAUUUCAACCCUCAAGCUCUGCUUGGUGUUGGGGCCCUACAGCUGAUGUAGGCCCUCAAAGGUAGUGGCGGACCCUCUCGGAGCCUCCUUUGCGUAGUAACUUUACGUCUCGCACUGGGAUCCGGAGGGACUCUUGCCGUAAAACCCCCAAUUUUCCAAAGGUUGACCUCGGAUCAGGUAGGAAUACCCGCUGAACUUAAGCAUAUC
Molecule: ribosomal RNA, 574 nt
Filed under: Colletotrichum sp. MTCC 9662
Lineage: Eukaryota; Fungi; Ascomycota; Sordariomycetes; Glomerellales; Glomerellaceae
Description: eukaryotic LSU rRNA
Rfam family: 5.8S ribosomal RNA (bases 216-369)
Source: RNAcentral